This 505-nucleotide ribosomal RNA is filed under the name Dialister invisus. Its description in RNAcentral is "bacterial SSU rRNA". It matches the Rfam family "Bacterial small subunit ribosomal RNA", at positions 28 to 499 of the family's 1533-position model. RNAcentral also lists the same sequence under 1 other name. The record is from RNAcentral. Lineage: Bacteria; Bacillati; Bacillota; Negativicutes; Veillonellales; Veillonellaceae.
GACGAACGCUGGCGGCGUGCUUAACACAUGCAAGUCGAACGAAAAGAGGGAAAGAGCUUGCUCUUUCCGGAAUUGAGUGGCAAACGGGUGAGUAACACGUAAACAACCUGCCUUCAGGAUGGGGACAACAGACGGAAACGACUGCUAAUACCGAAUAAGUUCCAAGAGCCGCAUGGCCCAUGGAAGAAAAGGUGGCCUCUACCUGUAAGCUAUCGCCUGAAGAGGGGUUUGCGUCUGAUUAGCUGGUUGGAGGGGUAACGGCCCACCAAGGCGACGAUCAGUAGCCGGUCUGAGAGGAUGAACGGCCACACUGGAACUGAGACACGGUCCAGACUCCUACGGGAGGCAGCAGUGGGGAAUCUUCCGCAAUGGGCGAAAGCCUGACGGAGCAACGCCGCGUGAGUGAUGACGGCCUUCGGGUUGUAAAACUCUGUGAUCCGGGACGAAAAGGCAGAGUGCGAAGAACAAACUGCAUUGACGGUACCGGAAAAGCAAGCCACGGCUA